Molecule: long non-coding RNA, 563 nt
Organism: Branchiostoma floridae (Florida lancelet)
Lineage: Eukaryota; Metazoa; Chordata; Leptocardii; Amphioxiformes; Branchiostomatidae
Exons: 4
Source: RefSeq, a predicted model, not a curated record
UCAGAUGAGCAGACAACUACUUUCGUCAGUUGGAAUGUCGUCAUAAUUAUAGGCUAUUGCACAUACUUAAAAAGAGCCCAGCCCAUCCCGUUUCCCGCACUUCUGAUUCCAGACCCGAGAAGAUAGAAGAGUUGAAGAAGAUCUCCAGAAGACUGCAGUCUCACCGCGAACGUCCUGACAAGAAACUCGAGUUCGAAGAUGAAGCUAGCCUUGUGUGGUGUCCUUUUCCUGUGCUGUGUGGUGCUGGCCGCGGCCGUGCCUUCACGUCGUGAGGAGGAGCUGCUGUCUGAUUUAGAAGACUUGGUGGCCGGACUGAAAGAAAAUCUCAUGGAAAUGGAGAUGCGAGAGAUGGAGGCCGAGGAGAACCGAGACCUGCAGGAGCUGGAGAUGGAAAGGCGCCAGGGACUACCCCCCGGAUUCAAGGGUUAAAGGAUAGUGGAGUUUGCAUUCCACUGACUACGUAUACCCCAGGCCCACGCCUGUUUGCAUGCAGUGCAUGGAGGGCAUUAAUUCAUGGUGAAUGUUUCAAUAUGAAAGGUGAAUAAAACUGGACUACUUGAAAA